This 487-nucleotide ribosomal RNA is filed under the name uncultured bacterium. RNAcentral describes it as "bacterial SSU rRNA". It matches the Rfam family "Bacterial small subunit ribosomal RNA", at positions 28 to 504 of the family's 1533-position model. The record is from RNAcentral.
GACGAACGCUGGCGGCGUGCCUCAGACAUGCAAGUCGUACGAGGCAGCGCAAGCUGCUUAGUGGCGGACGGGUGAGUAACACGUGGGCAAUCUGCCCGCAUGACCGGGAUAACACUUCGAAAGGGGUGCUAAUACCGGAUAAUCCAGUGGGGUCGCAUGAUCUUACUGGCGAAGGUGGCCUCUUAACAAUGCUGCCGCAUGCGGAUGAGCCCGCGUCCCAUUAGCUAGUUGGCGGGGUAAAAGCCCACCAAGGCAACGAUGGGUAGCCGGCCUGAGAGGGUGGCCGGCCACACUGGGACUGAGACAAGGCCCAGACUCCUACGGGAGGCAGCAGUCGGGAAUCUUGCACAAUGGGCGAAAGCCUGAUGCAGCGACGCCGCGUGAGCGAUGAAGGCCUUCGGGUGUAAGCUCUGUCUUAGGGAGAAGUCCCGCUGGUGAACAGCCGGUGGGGAUGACGGUACUCUAGGAGGAAGCCCCGGCUAACUAC